RNAcentral lists this long non-coding RNA (1207 nucleotides) under Olea europaea subsp. europaea. Lineage: Eukaryota; Viridiplantae; Streptophyta; Magnoliopsida; Lamiales; Oleaceae. The record is from RNAcentral.
AAAUAUCAUGACAAAUAAAAACCCAUUUUCUCUAAAGAAGCCUCAAAGAAGGAAAACAAAUUCUUCCCCAACUUGGAACCCUAGAAAUCGCCCCCAAAAUCCCAACUGAAGUCUUGAAUUUCAUUUCGGAUUGUUUGUGUUUAACGGUUUUUGACAUUCUAUUCCUCCCACAGAUUGCCCGCAACAUUACAACAGAGGAGCUGGAGGCGAUUCAAAAACCCAUACGAUCAUGGCUGCAAGAAAACUUGUUUAGAAUUCUUGAUAAAUGGAUACAAUGUAGACGUGGAGUAUUAUGAAGAAUCAACGCUUUUCUUGUUAUGGCUAAGAUGCUGGUGUCAACGGAUGUCUUCUACAGGAAAGAAAGACCACCUCUUACAUUUUCUUUACUGGUUCAGUUUUUCCUUUUAGCAUUGGUUGGGUAAGAAUGUGGGAUUCUUAAAUUCUUUGAAUUUUCAUUUCUCUAAUAUCUUCAUUUUCUCAUAUUUUGUUGUGUUUUUGGCUCUACCAGAAAAUAGGUUUUCAUUUGUUAUGGGAUUUUAUCGAUUGUGGCCCAGUUGGACUGAUUUAAUGUUUGUUACCUGCCACGUCAAAUUUCCGUCCAACAAGGGGCACAUUCCGUUCAUUGAAGUUGACAGAAAUUAAAUGGGUGAUGGAUGUGUAAGUAUUUGGAGAGAUGAGUGAGUAACGGGUUAUAUUUUAUAGGUCGUUAAGCAAGUAGUAAUGUAGAUUGAAGUUGAGUGAGCAUUGAUUAAAUUUACUCUUCCCUUUCCACUCCUUUUCCUCUCCUCUCGUCUCUGCCGAUUGCCAACGACGGAACGACCGGACCAAAAUCCAAAUCAAUUUCUCUUAGAAUUUCUGCAAAUGCAAAAGAAGAAAACGCGAGGAACGAUUAUCCACGACCCAAAUCGCAAAGCCAAACCCUAACCUCGCAAUCAAUUUCGAACCUCCAUCGACAGCUUCCCAAAAUCUGAUUUUCGAGUUGCCAGUCUCACCGCACGGCGCACGUAGGUUAAAGAAAUCUGAUUUACUGUGUUUCUCCUUGUUAUUCAUUCGGCUCCUGUGCUCCGUCUUGGUGAUUGCAAGUUGCUUUUUUUUUUUUUUUUUUUAAUAAUCUUGUUCAAUGAAUAAUGUGCAUCACUGGGAUUUGGUUUAUGUUGUUUAUUAUACAUCUUUCUUAGUCAUGGCAACAAACUGAUUUUAGAUUUCU